AUUGAACGCUGGCGGCAUGCCUUACACAUGCAAGUCGAACGGCAGCAUGGAAGAGCUUGCUCUUCUGAUGGCGAGUGGCGAACGGGUGAGUAAAGCAUCGGAACGUACCGUGUAGUGGGGGAUAACGUAGCGAAAGUUACGCUAAUACCGCAUACGCACUGAGGUGGAAAGCAGGGGGAUCGACAAGUACCUUGCGCUAUACGAGCCGGCCGAUGUCAGAUUAGCUAGUUGGUAAGGGUAAAGGCCUACCAAGGCGACGAUCUGUAGCGGGUCUGAGAGGAUGAUCCGCCACACGUGGGACUGAGACACGG
RNAcentral lists this ribosomal RNA (311 nucleotides) under uncultured bacterium. RNAcentral's name for it is "bacterial SSU rRNA". It matches the Rfam family "Bacterial small subunit ribosomal RNA", at positions 30 to 329 of the family's 1533-position model. The record is from RNAcentral.